Molecule: small nucleolar RNA, 104 nt
Organism: Hevea brasiliensis (rubber tree)
Lineage: Eukaryota; Viridiplantae; Streptophyta; Magnoliopsida; Malpighiales; Euphorbiaceae
Source: RefSeq, a predicted model, not a curated record
AUCCCAUGGUGUGGACAUCUCUAUAAAUCCUUGUACCUCUCUCAUGCUUCAUACAAGCUCUCAUCAUCUCUAGGUUUGAAAGAAGUCAGCUUAUUUCUUAGCUU